Molecule: ribosomal RNA, 497 nt
Filed under: uncultured bacterium
Lineage: Bacteria
Description: partial 16S ribosomal RNA
Rfam family: Bacterial small subunit ribosomal RNA
Source: RNAcentral
GAUGAACGCUGGCGGCGUGCCUAAUACAUGCAAGUCGAGCGAACGGACGAGAAGCUUGCUUAUCUGAUGUUAGCGGCGGACGGGUGAGUAACACGUGGAUAACCUACCUAUAAGACUGGGAUAACUUCGGGAAACCGGAGCUAAUACCGGAUAAUAUUUUGAACCGCAUGGUUCAAAAGUGAAAGACGGUCUUGCUGUCACUUAUAGAUGGAUCCGCGCUGCAUUAGCUAGUUGGUAAGGUAACGGCUUACCAAGGCAACGAUGCAUAGCCGACCUGAGAGGGUGAUCGGCCACACUGGAACUGAGACACGGUCCAGACUCCUACGGGAGGCAGCAGUAGGGAAUCUUCCGCAAUGGGCGAAAGCCUGACGGAGCAACGCCGCGUGAGUGAUGAAGGUCUUCGGAUCGUAAAACUCUGUUAUUAGGGAAGAACAUAUGUGUAAGUAACUGUGCACAUCUUGACGGUACCUAAUCAUAAAGCCACGGCUAACUACGUG